Molecule: ribosomal RNA, 371 nt
Filed under: uncultured bacterium
Lineage: Bacteria
Description: bacterial SSU rRNA
Rfam family: Bacterial small subunit ribosomal RNA
Source: RNAcentral
AGCGAACGCUGGCGGCAGGCUUAACACAUGCAAGUCGAACGGGCACCUUCGGGUGUCAGUGGCAGACGGGUGAGUAACACGUGGGAACGUACCCUUUGGUUCGGAACAACUCUGGGAAACUGGAGCUAAUACCGGAUACGCCCUGAUGGGGAAAGGUUUAUCCGCCGAAGGAUCGGCCCGCGUCUGAUUAGCUAGUUGGUGGGGUAACGGCCCACCAAGGCGACGAUCAGUAGCUGGUCUGAGAGGANGAUCAGCCGCACUGGGACUGAGACACGGCCCAGACUCCUACGGGAGGCAGCAGUGGGGAAUAUUGGACAAUGGGCGCAAGCCUGAUCCAGCCAUGCCGCGUGAGUGAUGAAGGCCUUAGGGUU